Molecule: ribosomal RNA, 497 nt
Filed under: uncultured bacterium
Lineage: Bacteria
Description: partial 16S ribosomal RNA
Rfam family: Bacterial small subunit ribosomal RNA
Source: RNAcentral
GAUGAACGCUGGCGGCGUGCCUAAUACAUGCAAGUCGAGCGAACAGAUGAGGAGCUUGCUCCUCUGACGUUAGCGGCGGACGGGUGAGUAACACGUGGAUAACCUACCUAUAAGACUGGGAUAACUUCGGGAAACCGGAGCUAAUACCGGAUAAUAUAUUGAACCGCAUGGUUCAAUAGUGAAAGACGGUUUUGCUGUCACUUAUAGAUGGAUCCGCGCCGCAUUAGCUAGUUGGUAAGGUAACGGCUUACCAAGGCAACGAUGCGUAGACGACCUGAGAGGGUGAUAGGCCACACUGGAACUGGGACACGGUCCAGACUCCUACGGGAGGCAGCAGUAGGGAAUCUUCCGCAAUGGGCGAAAGCCUGACGGAGCAACGCCGCGUGAGUGAUGAAGGUCUUCGGAUCGUAAAACUCUGUUAUUAGGGAAGAACAAAUGUGUAAGUAACUAUGCACGUCUUGACGGUACCUAAUCAGAAAGCCACGGCUAACUACGUG